CUAAUCUCUCACUCUCACUCUGGGAGAGAGAGACCUUGUUGAGAGAGCUGCUGCUGCUGCUGGAUAUUCAAUGUAUCUGGAUAAUCUGGUCGAAUUUAGGAGCUCAUAUUGCCACCAAGGAUGGGACCGUUCUAAAUUAAGCGAGUUAUAUGCGUCCCCGAGAAAAGUGGUGAUGAGGUCAAGGGCGACAAAUUGCUAAGAGUGCGAACUGUUGAUUGUGCAAACGUUUGUCAAGUAUCCUUCCCUGUGGCCAAGUUAGGUUUCUAAAGUCAUCAACAGGCUGCAUGUGAUAAAUUUAUUUUCUUUACGGUUUAUCCAGGUCUAAAUCCGGAGCGUAAAUCACCCAUGGCUCCAUUUUCCCACAAUUCGUCGUCCACCAACAAGCUCUGGAUAGAAAUUCGGUCCUUUGUGUUGACGACCAUGCAGCUACCCGGUUUGUGGCUCAGCUCGCAGCCAACUUUCUCCACCAUACAUCGCACUCAAAAGGACCAUCUCUCUGCGCGGUUAAGCUAGCGUCGUCGUGAAGUGAAAAUAUCGUUCUACUGCUGCGAAUGUCAUAAAUUAUAAUAAGCAAUCUGGGCGCAGUGUGUCUGUCGGAGGAUGACGUGGGAAGAAUAUACAACCAGAGAUUAUCCAUCACACCACCGCAUUGCCACUCCAGCCGAGAGCUCGUGCCUUGCUUUUGUGGUAAGGACAAUUAAUUCGCGUCGACUGAGCAAACAAAAUAUGUCAGUGUCAUCCCAACCACUUUGUAUUAGUCUUCUUGUGGAUGCAAUAAAGGGAGUUUUCCAA
Folsomia candida is the source of this 792-nucleotide long non-coding RNA. RefSeq lists it as uncharacterized. The record is from RefSeq and is a predicted model, not a curated record. The transcript is spliced from 2 exons. NCBI's taxonomy places the organism in Eukaryota, Metazoa, Arthropoda, Collembola, Entomobryomorpha, Isotomidae.